Molecule: long non-coding RNA, 570 nt
Filed under: Hordeum vulgare
Lineage: Eukaryota; Viridiplantae; Streptophyta; Magnoliopsida; Poales; Poaceae
Description: long non-coding RNA (HVUL_LNC007219)
Source: RNAcentral
CCAUGAAGAGUUCUACACACAAGAAAAAUUGUGGAUGACUCGAAGGGAUAACACAAAACUUGUGGUGUGAGGACAACAAUGUUGGGUUCGUCGCAUGGGAGACCAAAAAAAUUCUAUGCUGACAAAGAUUAAUCUAUGGAGUCUAACAUCUACGAGAGGGGGAGUUCAUCUACAUACCCUUGUAGAUCGCUAAGAGGAAGCGCAUAUAAUGCGGUUGAUGUAGUCGUACGUCUUCACCGUCGAAUCGCAAUCCGUCCCAAUCUAGCGCCAAACGGACGACACCUCCACGUUCAGCACGUAUCCUCCUUCUUGAUCCAAGAAGAGAGGAAAUAGAAAUAGAUUGUAUCUCAACCAGCACGAUGACAUGGUGGGGAUGAUGUUGCAGCAGUGCCAGCAAGGCUUCGCCAAGCUCUGUCGAAAUCAAUCUAAGGAGAAAACCAAGUUAUGAGAGAGGUAGGGCUGCCACCGGGCAUGGCAAUUGGUGUGUUCAGCCCCUCCCUCGCCCCCACUAUAUAUAGGAGGCACGGGGGAGGGUUGGGUCGCAAUUGUAGCCCCUCCUCCAAGGAGGGG